RNA transcript from Mus musculus (house mouse), 3276 nucleotides. It is a transcript of the gene named thioredoxin-like 1, with no coding region annotated. The record is from RefSeq and is marked provisional. NCBI's taxonomy places the organism in Eukaryota, Metazoa, Chordata, Mammalia, Rodentia, Muridae. The transcript is spliced from 9 exons.
GGAAAUGACGUCCAACGCGCGCGGGCCCAGGCUCCCUCAGCGCCCGCGCGGUGGCUGCUGGGUGUUGCGCGCCUUGCCCCUCUCGCUCGCCUCCCAGCCCGCGUCUCCUCCCCCUCCGCUCGCCUGCUCCCUGGCGUGACUCGGCACUCGCAGCUCCGGGAGGACACGUCGUGGUCGCCGUUCCCGCCCAGGCCCCGGCCUCCUGCAGCCCGUCUCCGGCCUCUCUCGGGCUCUGUGCUUCAGUUUUGAGGCCGGAAGCGUCGCGGCCGCCCUGCCGGGCUCUCUGUGAGGAUGGUGGGAGUGAAGCCGGUCGGGAGCGAUCCAGAUUUCCAGCCGGAGCUGAGCGGGGCGGGCUCCAGACUUGCCGUGGUCAAGUUCACCAUGAGAGGGUGUGGACCGUGUCUUCGGAUUGCCCCGGCGUUCAGCUCUAUGAGUAAUAAGUACCCACAGGCAGUCUUCUUGGAAGUAGAUGUGCAUCAGUGCCAGGGAACAGCUGCCACCAACAACAUAUCAGCAACACCUACGUUUUUGUUUUUUCGAAACAAAGUGAGAAUCGAUCAGUAUCAAGGAGCAGAUGCUGUGGGACUAGAAGAGAAAAUCAAGCAGCACUUAGAAAAUGAUCCUGGAAGCAAUGAGGACGCAGACAUUCCAAAGGGCUAUAUGGAUUUAAUGCCUUUUAUUAACAAAGCUGGUUGUGAAUGUCUUAAUGAAAGUGAUGAGCACGGCUUUGACAACUGUUUACGAAAAGACAUGUCCUUCUUGGAGUCUGACUGUGAUGAGCAGCUCCUUAUUACUGUGGCAUUCAAUCAGCCUGUUAAGCUUUAUUCCAUGAAGUUUCAAGGACCAGAUAACGGUCAGGGUCCUAAAUAUGUAAAAAUUUUUAUCAACCUACCCCGAUCUAUGGAUUUUGAGGAGGCGGAAAGGAGUGAGCCAACUCAAGCUCUGGAACUGACAGAAGAUGACAUUAAAGAAGAUGGCAUUGUUCCUCUUCGUUAUGUUAAAUUUCAGAAUGUCAACAGUGUAACUUUAUUUGUUCAGUCUAAUCAAGGAGAAGAAGAAACAACGAGAAUUUCAUAUUUUACUUUCAUUGGUACUCCAGUCCAGGCAACAAAUAUGAAUGACUUCAAACGACUUUUUUAAUACAGCUCAGUGAACUAAAAGCAGAAGAUUUUUUUAAUGAAGUAAUAUACAGAUAAACUCUGUCUCACUGUCCCCCCUUGCUUCAUUGCUCGUCUCCCCCCACCCACUGCUCUCACCCUCCCCACUUCUCAGUUGUCCUCCAAGAUCUCUUCAGCCUCAGCCUCCGUCCGGAUCAGCUACUUAUUACCUAGAUUGCCUCAGCCAUCUCCUCCUGCAGAGCCACCCCUCACGACUCAGUUGGCCCUUUAUUUUGCUUGCAAUUGUGCCUUAAUUUUCUUACCACACUAUGUUGCUCACAAGGCAGUUUUGUUUUUGUUUUUUUAACCUACUGCUGUUUUGUUCAAUAUUUUGAGAAAUAAUUUUGAAGUAAAACUUAAAAUUUUACAAUUGCUUUUAAAUUUAAUAAGUUGAGUAAUAUUUUUAUCCAUUUUAAAGUUUUAUAUUUUAGGAGCAGGAGAAUUGUUUUGGAAAGUACAAGUUUUUCUUUUUUCUCUUUUCUUUCUUUUUUGGUUUUUGUUUUUAACUAGAGCUAGUGUUAAAUACUUCUUAGGUUUUAGUUGCAAGUUGUGAGUUUUCAUAUUGGAACAAUAUCCUCAAAAUAUUUUUGUGGUGUAUCCUCUCAUGCUGAACUCAAGGCCAGUUGAAGGACAUACGGACUAAACAACAGGCUGGGUUAAAACACUAAUGCAGAAGACCAAUGGAUUCUUUACUGAAUGAAAGCUUUUAACAUCUAAUUUUGAUGUACCUAGACUUUGAUUUGUCUGGGGUGUAAUAUAAAGAAUUAAGACAGAAUGAAAGAGCUUUAUGUUUGGGGUGGUUGGCAAAAAAGGGGAAAGCCAUUAGGGUACAAAGACACUGGAAGACUUACUGCAGUCAGACUUGCAGCUCCUGGAUAAUUGCUUGAUUCUCUUCGGAAACUGUUAAUCUUUUAUUUGUUGCCAGUACCAAUAAAUCAUUGCUUUUGUUCAGAUGGCAUCACUAGUGUUUGUAGUGUAAUCGUGAUACAUGCAGUUGUAAAUAAAAGUCACUACUUUUGCCAAGCUUAAGUCUUCGUCAUUCUAUAUAAAUGCAUUCUCUCUCUUUUUAUUUGAAAAUUUGCUAACCUCUUGUUUUAGGAGUUGUGUCUAGUAUCACAUUGACUAAAAGUUACUCUAUCUCUAGAGGAACAGAACGCCACAGGGAUUAGGAGUACUGUCUAUACACAUGGAGAGUUUAGACAGGAUUUGAAACCUCCAUGUAUGUGUAAUGUUUGGAUGCAUGGAUUUGGAAUGGUUAACCAAGUUCAAGUACAUUCUGACUUAUUUUAUCAAAAAGCAUUUGGGUAUCUAGGCUUUACAAAUUUGUUAAAAAACCCAAUUUAUAAACACCCAGUACUCUUACCUAUCACUGGUAGUUAACAGAUUUACAAAUAUUUUGGUUUUAGGUUAGCUUCACUGUUGAUAUCCUUGGGUACCUGCCUUCCAAAUGGUGGGAUUGUAGGCCUGUACCACUAAACCUGGUCUCAUGCCAAGAUUUUAACUUUCUGCAUAAACCUAAACAUUAGAGUCAACUAUUUCCUUUAAUAAUGCAGGUAUUAAAACUGAAUUCAGAAAAAUUUGGAAAUUAUAAUACAUGGAGAUUAUUUAAUUUAAAAAUUAAAAAAUAUGGAAAAUUAGAAUCAAAUCUAUUAUCUAAAUUCACCAAAACAUUCACUCUAUAUAGAUAGAGAACAUGAUUUAAGCUUAAAAUGAGUUGUCCCAGCUGUUUGUUUGAAAGAUCUUCCACAAAAGACUGGAUAAGCAAAUACUUGUUGUUCUAAGCUUUUAAAACAUUUAAUAUUGGCAAAUUUAAUGUUUAAAUACUUUAUUUUGUUUUAUGUUUAUGUGUGUUUGGCUUCCAUGUAUGUGUAUAUUCGUGUGAGUGAGUGUGGUGCCCAGCAGAGGGGUGACAGCUGGUGGGAACUGCCAUGUGGGUGAUGGGAACUGAGCCCAGGCCUCUAUAAGACUGCUGCUCCAUCCCCACACAUUAAUCUUGUAAUUCAUUAUUUUAAAAGCAUAUAUAAGACUAAUAACUUGUAAUUCAUUUAAUACAUUUGAGGGCAUUCUUACCUAUAUAGUGCAGAGGUUUGCCUUUGGAUACUAAUGUACUUAUACGUAA